CCGAUUUCUCUCCUCCUCCCACAUUAGACAAGUGACUAACCUCUCAUCCCUCACUUCCUUCUCAUCCCUCACCUCACUGUGCAUCGAUUCUGCCCCAAAUCAGCUUUUGCUUUGCUUCAUACUCUUGAAGGGGAUAUGCUUCAAGGUCUUGUUUUCGGAUUUACUUCCAGCUACUAGAGGAUUUCAAAAAGUCGAGUGGACGAAGAGAAACCCUAAUCCUAAUGAUUACAAUCUACCGUCAUCUCUGGUAAUUCCUCUCCAUCUCGCUUCUAUUUUUGUGUCCUUUCUUCUUCCUUGCUUCGGGUCGGAAAAUUAAAGAAUUGAGUGAAUCAAAAACCAAAGGAGGUUCAUGGCUAAGGGUAAAGAUGUCCGAGUAACGGUUAUUUUGGAAUGUACCAGUUGUGUUCGAAAUCGUGUUAAUAAGGAAUCAAUGGGCAUUUCCAGAUAUAUUACUCAAAAGAAUCGACACAAUACGCCUAGUCGAUUGGAAUUGAGAAAAUUCUGUCCCUGUUGUUACAAACAUACGAUUCAUGGGGAGA
Long non-coding RNA from Pyrus x bretschneideri (Chinese white pear), 539 nucleotides. RefSeq lists it as uncharacterized. The transcript has 2 exons. NCBI's taxonomy places the organism in Eukaryota, Viridiplantae, Streptophyta, Magnoliopsida, Rosales, Rosaceae. The record is from RefSeq and is a predicted model, not a curated record.